CGUGGGCCCCCCUAUUGNGAUUGUUCCGAGAAGGGGGUUUCACGUUUUUAAACAGACACCAUUUUUUCAAAUGCAUGUGUAGAAUGUCUUACUUUUUGCGAUCACGCNAAAUCAAUACAACUUUCAACAACGGAUCUCUUGGCUCUCGCAUCGAUGAAUAACGCAACGAAAUGCGAUACGUAAUGUGAAUUGCANAAUUCAGUGAAUCAUCNAAUCUUUGAACGCACCUUGCGCCCCUUGGUAUUCCGAGGGGCACACCCGUUUGAGUGUCGUGAACACCCUCAACCUUCUUGGUUUUUCUACCGGGAAGGCUUGGACUUUGGAGGUUUUCCUUGCUGGCCUCCCUUUGAAGCCAGCUCCUCCUAAAUGAAUUAGUGGGGUCCACUUUGCCGAUCCUUGACNUGAUAAGUAUGCUUCUACGUCUUGGGUCUGCACUGUUGCCCUGGAACCCGCUUCCAACGGUCUUCGACUGAAGACGAUGUUCGAGUCGCGUCNCGACUUCGACCUCAGCGACCUUGACCUCAAAUCGGGUGAGACUACCCGCUGAACUUAAGCAUAU
RNAcentral lists this ribosomal RNA (559 nucleotides) under uncultured Russulaceae. RNAcentral describes it as "eukaryotic LSU rRNA". The stretch from base 119 to 272 matches the Rfam family "5.8S ribosomal RNA". Lineage: Eukaryota; Fungi; Basidiomycota; Agaricomycetes; Russulales; Russulaceae. The record is from RNAcentral.